RNAcentral lists this non-coding RNA (130 nucleotides) under Saimiri boliviensis boliviensis (Bolivian squirrel monkey). The record is from RNAcentral. Lineage: Eukaryota; Metazoa; Chordata; Mammalia; Primates; Cebidae.
GGCUGGUCUGAAGGUAGUGCUUAUCUCAGUUGAUUGUUUACAGUCACUUGCAGAUCAAACUCCUUGUUCUAGCAGAUCAAACUCCUUGUUCUACUCUUUACCCCCUCUCACCACUGCACUUGAUUAUUAA